GAUGAACGCUGGCGGCGUGCCUAAUACAUGCAAGUCGAACGCUUCACUUCGGUGAAGAGUGGCGAACGGGUGAGUAAUACAUAAGUAACCUGGCAUCUACAGGGGGAUAACUGAUGGAAACGUCAGCUAAGACCGCAUAGGUGUAGAGAUCGCAUGAACUCUAUAUGAAAAGUGCUACGGGACUGGUAGAUGAUGGACUUAUGGCGCAUUAGCUGGUUGGUAGGGUAACGGCCUACCAAGGCGACGAUGCGUAGCCGACCUGAGAGGGUGACCGGCCACACUGGGACUGAGACACGGCCCAGACUCCUACGGGAGGCAGCAGUAGGGAAUUUUCGGCAAUGGGGGAAACCCUGACCGAGCAACGCCGCGUGAAGGAAGAAGUAAUUCGUUAUGUAAACUUCUGUCAUAGAGGAAGAACGGUGGAUAUAGGGAAUGAUAUCCAAGUGACGGUACUCUAUAAGAAAGCCACGGCUAACUACGUGCCAGCAGCCGCGGUAAUACGUAGGUGGCGAGCGUUAUCCGGAAUUAUUGGGCGUAAAGAGGGAGCAGGCGGCACUAAGGGUCUGUGGUGAAAGAUCGAAGCUUAACUUCGGUAAGCCAUGGAAACCGUAGAGCUAGAGUGUGUGAGAGGAUCGUGGAAUUCCAUGUGUAGCGGUGAAAUGCGUAGAUAUAUGGAGGAACACCAGUGGCGAAGGCGACGAUCUGGCGCAUAACUGACGCUCAGUCCCGAAAGCGUGGGGAGCAAAUAGGAUUAGAUACCCUAGUAGUCCACGCCGUAAACGAUGAGUACUAAGUGUUGGGUGUCAAAGCUCAGUGCUGCAGUUAACGCAAUAAGUACUCCGCCUGAGUAGUACGUUCGCAAGAAUGAAACUCAAAGGAAUUGACGGGGGCCCGCACAAGCGGUGGAGCAUGUGGUUUAAUUCGAAGCAACGCGAAGAACCUUACCAGGUCUUGACAUCGAUCUAAAGGCUCCAGAGAUGGAGAGAUAGCUAUAGAGAAGACAGGUGGUGCAUGGUUGUCGUCAGCUCGUGUCGUGAGAUGUUGGGUUAAGUCCCGCAACGAGCGCAACCCCCGUUGCCAGUUGCCAGCAUUAAGUUGGGGACUCUGGCGAGACUGCCGGUGACAAGCCGGAGGAAGGCGGGGAUGACGUCAAAUCAUCAUGCCCCCUAUGACCUGGGCUACACACGUGCUACAAUGGACAGAGCAGAGGGAAGCGAAGCCGCGAGGUGGAGCGAAACCCAUAAAACUGUUCUCAGUUCGGACUGCAGUCUGCAACUCGACUGCACGAAGAUGGAAUCGCUAGUAAUCGCGAAUCAGCAUGUCGCGGUGAAUAAAAUCUCGGGCCUUGCACU
This 1352-nucleotide ribosomal RNA is filed under the name uncultured bacterium. RNAcentral's name for it is "bacterial SSU rRNA". It matches the Rfam family "Bacterial small subunit ribosomal RNA", at positions 28 to 1387 of the family's 1533-position model. The record is from RNAcentral.